GCCAUGGCUCACAGGCCCAGCCGCUCCACGGCACGUGGGGUCUUCCCGGACCGGGGCACGAACCCGUGUCCCCUGCGUCGGCAGGCGGACUCUCAACCACUGCGCCGCCAGGGAAGCCCUAUCUGUGCUCCCUUUUAGCUCAUUGAGCACCUUUUGUUAUUUUGAAUUACUUGGCGUCACUCGACUUACAGAUUCUUCCUCAUCCAGGACACACCUCGUUAGCAAGAGAGGUGGAGUAACGUGGUGUGGGGUAGAGGCUCCUAAGCAAGGCUGUCUGUCCUCAAAAAUUGACUCUGCUCUUUUCUAGCUGAGGCUGUGAGUUAUUUAUACUUCUGUAUCUUAACUUUUCUCAUCAAUAAAAUAACAGUAGUAGAAAA
Lagenorhynchus albirostris (white-beaked dolphin) is the source of this 377-nucleotide long non-coding RNA. RefSeq lists it as uncharacterized. The transcript has 2 exons. The record is from RefSeq and is a predicted model, not a curated record. Lineage: Eukaryota; Metazoa; Chordata; Mammalia; Artiodactyla; Delphinidae.